Molecule: long non-coding RNA, 1018 nt
Filed under: Macaca fascicularis (crab-eating macaque)
Lineage: Eukaryota; Metazoa; Chordata; Mammalia; Primates; Cercopithecidae
Description: lncRNA (ENSMFAG00000050216.1)
Source: RNAcentral
GUCCCCACUAGGCCACUGCCUAAUGGAACUGUGAAAAGAGAGCCACCAUCCUUCAAACCCCAGAAUGGUAAAUCUACUGACAGCUUGUACCCUGCACCUGGAAAAGCCACAGGUACUCAAGGCCAGCCUGUGACAGCAGCCUUGGGGGCUGGACCCUGCAAAGCCACAGGGGCAGACCUGCCCAAGGCCUUGGGAGUCCAAUUCUAACACCAGUAUGCCCUGGAUGUAAGAUAUGGAGUCAAAGGAGAUUAUUUUGAAGCUUUAAGAUUUAAUGACUGCCCUGCUGGAGUCUUGCAUGGAGCCGAUAGCCCCUUUCUUUUGGCUGAUUGCUUCCUUUUGAAAUGGGAAUGUUUACUCAAUGCUUGUACUCCCAUUGUAUCUCGGAAGUAACUAAACUGAUUUUUAUUUUACAGGCUCAUAGGUAGAAGGGACUUGCCUUGUCUCAGAUGAGGCUUUGAACUUUUGAGUUAAUGCUGGAAUGAGUUAAAACUUUGGGGAAGGCAUGAUUGUAUUUUGAAACAUGAGAAAGAUAUAAGAUUUGGGAAGGGUCAGGGGUGGAAUGAUGUGGUUUGGUGAUGUGUCUCUGCCCAAAUUUCAUGUUGAAUUGCAAUCCCCAAUGUUGGAGGUGGGACCUGGUGGGAGGUGAUUGGAUCAUAGGGGUGGAUUUCUCAUGAAUGGUUUAGCACCAUUCCCUUGGUGCUCUUCUCAUGAUAGUGAGUGAGUUCUCACGAGAUCUGUUGCUUAAAAGGGUGUGGUACCUCCAACCCCAACUCUUGCUCCUGCUCUGGCCAUGCAAAGUGCCUAUUCCUCCUUUACCUUCUGCCAUGAUUGUAAGUUUCCUGAGGCCUUCACAGAGGCUGAGCAAAUGCCAGCAUCAUGCUUCGUGUAAGGUCUGCAGAAUCAUGAGCCAAUUAAACCUCUUUUCUUUAUGAAUUACCCAGUCUCAGGUAUUUCUUUAUGGCAAUGAGAUAAUGGCCUUAUACACCCUAUCUCUUAAAAAAGCACACACACACACACA